UACUGAAGGUGCAAGCGUUAAUCGGAAUUACUGGGCGUAAAGCGCGCGUAGGCGGUUUGUUAAGUUGGAUGUGAAAGCCCAGGGCUCAACCUUGGAACUGCAUCCAAUACUGCCAGGCUAGAGUACGAGAGAGGGGGGUAGAAUUCCUAGUGUAGCGGUGAAAUGCGUAGAUAUUAGGAGGAAUACCAGUGGCGAAGGCGGCCCCCUGGCUCGAUACUGACGCUGAGGUGCGAAAGCGUGGGGAGCAAACAGGAUUAGAUACCCCCGUAGUCC
This 273-nucleotide ribosomal RNA is filed under the name uncultured bacterium. Its description in RNAcentral is "partial 16S ribosomal RNA". It matches the Rfam family "Bacterial small subunit ribosomal RNA", at positions 524 to 796 of the family's 1533-position model. The record is from RNAcentral.